GACGAACGCUGGCGGCGUGCUUAACACAUGCAAGUCGAACGGAAAGGCCCUGCUUUUGUGGGGUGCUCGAGUGGCGAACGGGUGAGUAACACGUGAGUAACCUGCCCUUGACUUUGGGAUAACUUCAGGAAACUGGGGCUAAUACCGGAUAGGAGCUCCUGCCGCAUGGUGGGGGUUGGAAAGUUUCGGCGGUUGGGGAUGGACUCGCGGCUUAUCAGCUUGUUGGUGGGGUAGUGGCUUACCAAGGCUUUGACGGGUAGCCGGCCUGAGAGGGUGACCGGCCACAUUGGGACUGAGAUACGGCCCAGACUCCUACGGGAGGCAGCAGUGGGGAAUAUUGCACAAUAGGCGGAAGCCUGAUGCAGCAACGCCGCGUGCGGGAUGACGGCCUUCGGGUUGUAAACCGCUUUCGCCUGUGACGAAGCGUGAGUGACGGUAAUGGGUAAAGAAGCACCGGCUAACUACGUG
Molecule: ribosomal RNA, 468 nt
Filed under: uncultured bacterium
Lineage: Bacteria
Description: partial 16S ribosomal RNA
Rfam family: Bacterial small subunit ribosomal RNA
Source: RNAcentral